AACGGUAGUUAAGUCGGACUAUAACGCCGGCUUGUCACGCCGGAGGCCGAGGGUUCAAAUCCCUUCCGUUCC
This 72-nucleotide transfer RNA is filed under the name uncultured Bilophila sp. It matches the Rfam family "tRNA". From Rfam's summary of the family: Transfer RNA (tRNA) molecules are approximately 80 nucleotides in length. Their secondary structure includes four short double-helical elements and three loops (D, anti-codon, and T loops). The record is from RNAcentral. Lineage: Bacteria; Pseudomonadati; Thermodesulfobacteriota; Desulfovibrionia; Desulfovibrionales; Desulfovibrionaceae.